RNAcentral lists this unclassified non-coding RNA (343 nucleotides) under soil metagenome. Its description in RNAcentral is "partial contains 5.8S ribosomal RNA, internal transcribed spacer 2, and large subunit ribosomal RNA". The stretch from base 1 to 120 matches the Rfam family "5.8S ribosomal RNA", at positions 35 to 154 of the family's 154-position model. The record is from RNAcentral.
GAUGAAGAACGCAGCGAAAUGCGAUACGUAAUGUGAAUUGCAGAAUUCAGUGAAUCAUCGAGUCUUUGAACGCACAUUGCGCCCCCUGGUAUUCCGGGGGGCAUGCCUGUCCGAGCGUCAUUGCUGCCCUCAAGCACGGCUUGUGUGUUGGGCCUCCGUCCUCCUCCCGGGGGACGGGCCCGAAAGGCAGCGGCGGCACCGCGUCCGGUCCUCGAGCGUAUGGGGCUUCGUCACCCGCUCUUGUAGGCCCGGCCGGCGCUUGCCGACACAUCAAUCUUUUUUCCAGGUUGACCUCGGAUCAGGUAGGGAUACCCGCUGAACUUAAGCAUAUCAUAAGCGGAGG